UUCCUACGGGAGGCAGCAGUGAGGAAUAUUGGUCAAUGGGCGGAAGCCUGAACCAGCCAAGUCGCGUGAGGGAAUAAGGCCCUACGGGUCGUAAACCUCUUUUGCCGGGGAGCAAGGGCGGGGACGUGUCCCGGCCCGGAGAGUACCCGGAGAAAAAGCAUCGGCUAACUCCGUGCCAGCAGCCGCGGUAAUACGGAGGAUGCGAGCGUUAUCCGGAUUUAUUGGGUUUAAAGGGAGCGUAGAUGGGUUGUUAAGUCAGUUGUGAAAGUUUGCGGCUCAACCGUAAAAUUGCAAUUGAUACUGGC
RNAcentral lists this ribosomal RNA (305 nucleotides) under uncultured bacterium. Its description in RNAcentral is "bacterial SSU rRNA". It matches the Rfam family "Bacterial small subunit ribosomal RNA", at positions 336 to 637 of the family's 1533-position model. The record is from RNAcentral.